Molecule: ribosomal RNA, 859 nt
Filed under: uncultured archaeon
Lineage: Archaea
Description: bacterial SSU rRNA
Rfam family: Archaeal small subunit ribosomal RNA
Source: RNAcentral
GCCGCCGCGGUAACACCGGCAGCCCGAGUGGUGAUCACUAUUAUUGGGUCUAAAGGGUCCGUAGCCGGUUUAAUCAGUCUUCUGGGAAAUCUAAUCGCUUAACUAUUAGGCUUCCAGGGGAUACUGUUAGACUUGGGACCGGGAGAGGUAAGAGGUACUGCAGGGGUAGGAGUGAAAUCUUGUAAUCCCUGUGAGACCACCAGUGGCGAAGGCGUCUUACCAGAACGGGUCCGACGGUGAGGGACGAAAGCUGGGGGCACGAACCGGAUUAGAUACCCGGGUAGUCCCAGCUGUAAACGAUGCUCGUUAGGUGUCAGGAACGGUGCGACUGUUUCUGGUGCCGAAGGGAAGCCGUGAAACGAGCCACCUGGGAAGUACGGCCGCAAGGCUGAAACUUAAAGGAAUUGGCGGGGGAGCACUACAACGGGUGGAGCCUGCGGUUUAAUUGGACUCAACGCCGGAAAACUCACCGGGGGCGACAGCAAUAUGUAGGUCAGGUUAAAGGUCUUACCUGAAUCGCUGAGAGGAGGUGCAUGGCCGUCGUCAGUUCGUACUGUGAAGCAUCCUGUUAAGUCAGGCAACGAGCAAGACCCGUGCCCACUGUUACCAGCAUAUCCUUUAUGGAUGAUGGGGACUCUGUGGGGACCGCUGCUGCUAAAGCAGAGGAAGGUGCGGGCUACGGUAGGUCAGUAUGCCCCGAAUCUCCCGGGCUACACGCGGGCUACAAUGGUUGGGACAAUGGGUAUCUACUCCGAAAGGAGUUGGCAAUCUCUUAAACCCAAUCGUAGUUCGAAUUGAGGGCUGAACUCGCCCUCAUGAAGCUGGAAUCCGUAGUAAUCGCGUUUCAACAUAGCGCGGU